Capra hircus (goat) is the source of this 5660-nucleotide RNA transcript. It is a transcript of the gene named EYA transcriptional coactivator and phosphatase 4, with no coding region annotated. The transcript has 20 exons. The record is from RefSeq and is a predicted model, not a curated record. NCBI's taxonomy places the organism in Eukaryota, Metazoa, Chordata, Mammalia, Artiodactyla, Bovidae.
UUGGCUCCUCUCCUUUCCUCCUCCCCCUCGUAGCCGCUUCUCCCCCCGCCCCGUCUCUCCCCCACUGGUGUACGCUAUUUGUUGGAGGUGGGGGGGGUGGUGGCCGAAGGGGAUGUCCUCUUUUCACCAGAGGCACAGCUUGAAGGCGAAACUUCAACACUGGAAGGAAAGAGAAUAAAUACAUAAAUACGGACGCACAGAUCUGUUGCUGGGGGAGUCACUUGGACUUUGGGAUCCUGAGACGGUCCUGGCGGCAGGAGAUUGUCCAUUUUUAAUUGGAGGAAGCUGCUUCUACUUGGGGGGUGGCAGGAGAAGUAAGAAAACCACAUGGAAGACUCCCAGGAUUUAAAUGAGCAAUCCGUAAAGAAAACGUGCACAGAAUCAGAUGUUCCCGAACCCCAGAAUUCCAGGUCUAUGGAAAUGCAGGACCUAGCAAGUCCUCAUCCUCUUGUUGGAGGUGGUGAUACUCCUGGAAGCUCCAAAUUGGAGAAAACUAAUCUCAGCAGCACUUCGGUCACCACAAAUGGGACAGGAGGGGACAACAUGACUGUUUUAAACACUGCAGACUGGUUGCUGAGUUGCAACACCCCCUCCUCUGCAACAAUGUCUCUCCUUGCAGUCAAAACAGAGCCUUUGAACAGCAGUGAAACCACAGCCACGACUGGAGAUGGAGCGCUUGACACUUUUACUGGGUCAGUAAUAACAAGUAGUGGCUACAGCCCCAGAUCCGCGCAUCAAUAUUCCCCACAGCUGUAUCCUUCCAAGCCCUAUCCACACAUUCUUUCUACACCAGCAGCUCAAACAAUGUCCGCCUAUGCAGGCCAGACUCAGUAUUCGGGAAUGCAGCAGCCAGCCGUCUACACUGCCUACUCACAGACAGGACAGCCCUACAGCCUACCCACUUACGAUCUGGGCGUGAUGUUACCAGGCAUCAAGACAGAGAGUGGACUCUCACAAACUCAGUCCCCAUUGCAGAGUGGGUGCCUCAGUUACAGCCCAGGCUUCUCUACCCCACAGCCAGGCCAGACACCUUAUUCUUACCAGAUGCCAGGUUCUAGUUUUGCACCAUCUUCUACUAUUUAUGCAAAUAAUUCAGUUUCAAAUUCAACAAAUUUCAGUGGUUCACAACAGGAUUAUCCAUCCUACACAGCCUUUGGCCAAAACCAGUAUGCACAGUAUUACUCUGCAUCGACGUAUGGCGCAUACAUGACAUCAAAUAACACAGCUGAUGGCUCAUCCUCCACGACCUCAACCUACCAGUUGCAGGAAUCUCUCCCAGGACUGACUAGCCAACCAGGUACAGAUCUUCAUCCAGGAGAGUUUGAAACUGUGCAAAGCCCCUCCACACCCAUCAAAGAUCUUGAUGAGAGAACCUGCAGGAGUUCUGGGUCAAAGUCCAGAGGAAGAGGCCGGAAAAAUAAUCCGUCCCCGCCUCCUGACAGUGACCUGGAGCGUGUGUUUGUCUGGGACUUGGAUGAAACCAUCAUUGUUUUCCACUCACUGCUCACAGGAUCUUAUGCCCAGAAGUAUGGCAAGGAUCCCCCCAUGGCUGUAACCCUUGGACUUCGAAUGGAGGAAAUGAUUUUUAAUCUUGCUGAUACACAUUUGUUUUUUAAUGAUUUAGAGGAGUGUGAUCAAGUUCACAUAGAUGAUGUUUCCUCUGAUGACAAUGGGCAGGACUUAAGUACCUACAGUUUUGCAACUGAUGGCUUCCAUGCAGCUGCAAGUAGUGCAAACCUUUGUUUGCCAACAGGUGUAAGAGGAGGGGUUGACUGGAUGAGGAAGUUGGCUUUUCGUUACAGAAGAGUGAAAGAAUUAUACAACACCUACAAGAACAACGUGGGAGGACUUCUUGGCCCGGCCAAGAGAGAUGCAUGGCUGCAGCUGAGGGCUGAGAUCGAAGGUCUGACAGACUCCUGGCUAACAAAUGCACUUAAAUCUUUAUCAAUUAUUAGUACGAGGAGUAACUGCGUAAAUGUCUUGGUAACAACAACCCAGCUGAUCCCAGCGCUCGCGAAGGUUCUACUCUAUAGUUUAGGAGGUGCUUUUCCCAUUGAGAAUAUUUACAGUGCAACUAAAAUAGGCAAGGAAAGCUGUUUUGAGCGUAUAGUGUCCAGAUUUGGCACUAACAUAACUUAUGUUGUGAUUGGAGAUGGCCGAGAUGAGGAGCAUGCCGCUAACCAGGUAACUUCACUCUGAACUUUAUCUUGUUUAUCUUCCAGGAAAAGAAAGUUGCUUUGAACGAAUAAUGCAAAGGUUUGGCAGAAAAGUAGUAUAUGUUGUAAUUGGGGAUGGUGUAGAAGAAGAACAGGCAGCAAAAAAGCACAAUAUGCCCUUUUGGAGGAUAUCAAGUCACUCAGACCUCUUGGCUCUACAUCAAGCACUGGAAUUAGAGUAUUUGUAACUGUGUUCUCUAGCUGGAGAUCCGUUUUUUUUUUUUUUUUUUUUUUUUAAUUUCAAGUACACUGAAUUUUUAUGUGUGAUUCAAUGCCUCUGGCUUUACACAUAUAAAUUGUCUUAAAGGAUGAAAUCAUAUUUGGAAUGAGAAUUCCAGAAUGAAGAAUUCAGAUUGCUGAAUGGAAUUAAACUUUAGUGCUACAGAAAGGAAGCUCUAUGGUCUUAUAUUUACAACACUUUAAUGGUUUAAAAAAAAAAAAAUUCUGUGGAGGUUGCUGGUACCCACCGAAGGAGUCCUAACUGGAAUUAACUUUAGCAAAGAACUCACCCUGGCAAAGCACCAACACAGGCUCCGUCUGACAAGGUUCAACAACAUUCCUCAAAAUGGGAGAUCUUCUUAGCCCUGAGGUUUGAAUCUGACUUUAACCUACCUAGCCCAGAAAAUCUGAAUUGGAAUGCACUCAGACUGUGUAAGGACAAUCCUAUUUAGACCUGUAAUUUGUGUAAAUUAUUGAUGAAAAUAAUUUACUGUGACUUUUAUUAGCAGCUGACUUUGAAAGUGGAUGCAAUUUUUCCUUCAUUUGUUGGGGAGGGCUUUGGGAGGGGAAAGGGGAAUCUAAUCAUGUCUGUUUUUUUAAGUUUGGCAAACAGAAUGUUCAUACUGAUGUGUUGUGCCUUAAAGACAAGACAGCGUUUGUGUGUUACAAUGUAACUUUGGUUAAAAUCUCUGUAGAUAAUGAAAAACAAAAACCUUUGUGAUCGUUUUUCAGAUGACCAAAUUUAAAUUUCAAGCUAUCAGAGCUGAAUAAUGCCUCAGCAAGAAACUGAGCAUUUGUUGCAAUAAGAAAAUCAUAAUAAUAAUAAAGGAAAGCUUGUGUUUUAUUUGGGCUCUUAAUAAUUCCAAUAAUUGUAUGAGGCAACUAUUUAUGCAUCCAACCAGAAGCAGAAGGUUUGGGAAAGACUGUGGGACCUUUACUUAGAAAGUGAAAUGUAUGUUGAAGCCUCGAGUACCCUUUCUACAGUUUUACUGAAGAAAACUAAAAGCCAUAUUCAUGAUGACCUGUACAAUUUGGAGUUUGACGUUUUGAUACGUAUAAGUUGUGUAGAAGAAGAUAUUCAGAUGAAAAUCAUAGGCAAAUAUCACCCAAACUUUCUUAGACUAUGCAUGAACAUGGCUUAAAAUUCACAUUGGGUGAACAGGGCUUAAAAUAAAGCUAAGUGCAUUUAUUCCCAAUGCCAUUGCAAAAAUGAAAUAUCAUCAGUAGUGGAAGGCAAAUUCCCCAGACAGUUUCUAAGGAGAUAAGAGAAUCAAUAAAAAUUUUUCCUAGCCUAUCAUCAUAAAAUAAAUUUACAAAUGAGCCGAAUCUUGGCAGCAUAACUAAAAUUAAACAGUGGAACGGUAUCUGGUUCUCUGUCUUAACACAUCCAUCCAGUUUCUGUCCAUUACAGACCUGUAUAUCUGAGUUUCUGCCUGUACCGUUACUGCACAAUGGAUUUCAUUCAUUGCAAGGAGAGCCUGUCAUCGUCAUGUUUGCAUGUUUUUUUUUCUUCUUCUUGGUGUGUAACCCAUGUUAGGAACGCGAUACAGGUUCUCCUGUCAUUUUGUAUGACCUGAUUUCCCUUGUGGAAAUUUAAGACUUCAACAGAGUGUUUUAAUGGUGUCUACACCUGCAGUUCUGUGUUUAAAAUGUCACAAUGUGGAACCUGCCAUCUAGCUACUAACCUGAGCUCCUAACCAGAAGCUGGUCCUUGAGCUUCAUCAUCUGAGGCUUCCAUGGCUCCCAAAAGAUUGGUGCUUUGUACAUUGAUCACAACAUUCACUAUGGAAGUGUGAUUUUGUUUUUCAAGCUAUAAACCUGUAUUUCUUUAUUGUACGCUAAGGUCUUGUUUGUAUCAGGCAAAAAGAGACUGAAAUCAUGUUCUGCAGAUAUUAAUUAACAUUGUGGUUUCAUCACAUAUACCCCUUAAUCUUUAAAUUCUGUAACUUAUGGCUACUUCUGCAACCAAGUACUGUUGCAGACAGAUUAAGGACAAAUACAUAGUAAUAAUAAAUCUUACAUUUCUAUUGACCUUUAGCUUGAAAAUGGUAGUUUAAAAAAUUAAGAGCUGCAUUGAUUAUCAACACAUAAUUCUAUUUUGUGCACUAAAACCUUAAAUGUUUAUUACUGUGAACAAAUCAAAAUUAUCUUUAAUAUAUAGCCAGGUUCUUUAAUAGAAUUUUAGCAUUAUAUCAAAAGUUUUCACUCUUUUUCAUAUUGAACAAGCAAGACUUCUUACAUUGCUAACCCUGCAGGUACAGAAAGGAACAUUGCUCUACAGGGCAAAGAGAAGGGUCGCUGACUGCAUCAGCAGUGCUGUUUCUUACAAACCUCUUCUCUGAAAAUGAUAUGUCCAGAAGAGACUGCCAGCCUAAAACCUAAAUGCUGGGUUGUUGUACAACUACUCGGCUGACCCCGCCAUGGUGCAGGCCAGUGAGCCUACAUCGCAGUUUGUUCUGUAAUUUUGAGCAUGCUCAAACUAGAAUGUUUCUCUCCCCCACUUAGGAACUCAGGAGCCUCUUCCUUUCUUACCUGAAAAGCAUAAAAUCAACCAACCAACAAACAAAAAACACCACCUAUGGCAGUUUCCACAUUCUGUUGACAUUUAGAAGAUUGUGCCUUAUUAUAAACCAAUUUGAAAAAUGUUCUGUCUCAGACAUGGGUUUUUGGUUCCUACAUGUACAAACUUGGGCUAUCACCAAGAUAGGUAACCACCUCGUGUUGCACCUGAAAAGUAGUAAAACAGGUGGCCUGACUGUAGUAAUGUCAUAGACGAGAUUAAGUUACUAUGCCCUGCAAAGAUUUGUAAAUCAAAUUCAGAGGCAAAAAGAAUAUUUUAGUAUCAUGCAGUUUGCACACAAACAGUAGAUAUAACACUCUAAAAAUGUUUUUUUCUUUAGUCUCUGGUGAACUGAUUCAAAAUAGUGUCAACAGCAUGCUGCAGUAUGAAGGUUUUGGGUUUUUUUUUUAAUGCACAUUUGUUUAUGACAAGCCUACAUUCUCAGUGAAUAUGGCAUUUAGUAUUUCUUUUAAAAACAAAUAAGCGUCUUGAGCCAAAGUUGCAUUUUGACUCCCAACUAUGAUAGCAUAUGGAAAUCUAACAAAGAAGAGGGUUUCUGUUAUGUAUUAGUAAAAUAUAGAUUAUUGGGGCCUACAUAAUUUAAAGAAAUGUAAAUUAAUAUUAAAAGCUUGUAAAAAUAUGUACAUCUUUACUUUUUCUCAAUA